Nerophis lumbriciformis (worm pipefish) is the source of this 433-nucleotide long non-coding RNA. RefSeq lists it as uncharacterized. The record is from RefSeq and is a predicted model, not a curated record. Lineage: Eukaryota; Metazoa; Chordata; Actinopteri; Syngnathiformes; Syngnathidae.
UAGUGAAAAGCUAAUUGUCUCCGAUGAUUUGUCCAAUAAUAUUCAUAAUGCAGACGAGGUGGAAGGAAUAAAACACGAAGUAGAAGGAAUAAAACUAGCUUGUAUCGCAUUCCUAAGCGUAUUUCUGGACGAACGGAAGCGGCUGAAAAGAAAAGUUAACGGCGAAGACGAGCGUGGAUUGCUACAAUAAACCGAGACGUGACGUGCUGACGACUUCGUGUUUGUUCGGAUCAUUUCAGUGAAUCUACACAACUCUGCCUCUACACUACUGGUCGAGACAGAUGGCCACCCCAUCGAGCCUGCGUUUCUUCCCACAGCACACGGGUGGGACCAGACAAGCUUUGCUUCGUCACACUCCUGUUGGACGGUUGAUCCUUUUAGCAAAAACGUGUGCUUGUGAAGUUUCAACAUGUUCCCAAAAAAAUAAAUGGAU